AUCCCAUGAUGAGGACAGGUGGCAACAUAUUCCUGAAGCCGUUCCCACGCAUCAGGAAUGGACUCAUCCUUUGUCUGCUGGAAACUUAAAAUCCUCCCGCGAAGGGC
Molecule: small nucleolar RNA, 107 nt
Filed under: Oryza longistaminata (longstamen rice)
Lineage: Eukaryota; Viridiplantae; Streptophyta; Magnoliopsida; Poales; Poaceae
Description: snoRNA snoR71
Rfam family: Plant small nucleolar RNA R71
About the family: R71 is a member of the C/D box family of snoRNAs containing the C (UGAUGA) and D (CUGA) box motifs.
Source: RNAcentral